Molecule: transfer RNA, 85 nt
Filed under: Felis catus (domestic cat)
Lineage: Eukaryota; Metazoa; Chordata; Mammalia; Carnivora; Felidae
Rfam family: tRNA
About the family: Transfer RNA (tRNA) molecules are approximately 80 nucleotides in length. Their secondary structure includes four short double-helical elements and three loops (D, anti-codon, and T loops).
Source: Rfam by way of RNAcentral
GCCUGGGUGGCUGAGUCGGUUAAGCGUCCGACUUCGGCUCAGGUCCUGAUCUCCCGGGUCAUGAGUUCAAGCCCCACCUCGGGCU